This 433-nucleotide ribosomal RNA is filed under the name uncultured bacterium. RNAcentral's name for it is "partial 16S ribosomal RNA". It matches the Rfam family "Bacterial small subunit ribosomal RNA", at positions 29 to 507 of the family's 1533-position model. The record is from RNAcentral.
AACGAACGCUGGCGGCAUGCCUAACACAUGCAAGUCGAACGAGACCUUCGGGUCUAGUUGCGCACGGGUGCGUAACGCGUGGGAACCUUCCCUUAGGUUCGGAAUAACUCCCCGAAAGGGGUGCUAAUACCGGAUAAUUUCUUCGGACCAAAGAUUUAUCGCCUUUGGAUGGGCCCGCGUUGGAUUAGCUAGUUGGUAGGGUAAAAGCCUACCAAGGCGACGAUCCAUAGCUGGUCUCAGAGGAGGAUCAGCCACACUGGGACUGAGACACGGCCCAGACUACUAGGGGAGGCAGGAGAGGGGAAUAUUGGAAAACGGGCGGAGGCAUGAUCGCGCAAUGGUGGGUGAGUGAUGUAGGUCGUAGGGUAGUACAGCUCUUUUACACGCGACGAUAAUGACAGUACCGGGAGAAUAAGCUCCGGCUAACUCCGUG